RNAcentral lists this long non-coding RNA (85 nucleotides) under Aquila chrysaetos chrysaetos. RNAcentral's name for it is "lncRNA (ENSACCG00020003941.1)". Lineage: Eukaryota; Metazoa; Chordata; Aves; Accipitriformes; Accipitridae. The record is from RNAcentral.
GACAAACACUAUUUUUCAGCAUGAAGACAAAAGAAAAAGUGUUCAACAUGAGGUGCAAACUUCAUAUUUUCUCCCUGAAACUAGG